CCAAACUGUUGCCUCGGCGGGGUCACGCCCCGGGUGCGUCGCAGCCCCGGAACCAGGCGCCCGCCGGAGGAACCAACCAAACUCUUUCUGUAGUCCCCUCGCGGACGUAUUUCUUACAGCUCUGAGCAAAAAUUCAAAAUGAAUCAAAACUUUCAACAACGGAUCUCUUGGUUCUGGCAUCGAUGAAGAACGCAGCGAAAUGCGAUAAGUAAUGUGAAUUGCAGAAUUCAGUGAAUCAUCGAAUCUUUGAACGCACAUUGCGCCCGCCAGUAUUCUGGCGGGCAUGCCUGUCCGAGCGUCAUUUCAACCCUCGAACCCCUCCGGGGGAUCGGCGUUGGGGAUCGGGACCCCUCACACGGGUGCCGGCCCCGAAAUACAGUGGCGGUCUCGCCGCAGCCUCUCCUGCGCAGUAGUUUGCACAACUCGCACCGGGAGCGCGGCGCGUCCACGUCCGUAAAACACCCAACUUUCUGAAAUGUUGACCUCGGAUCAGGUAGGAAUACCCGCUGAACUUAAGCAUAUCAAUAAGCGGAGGAA
RNAcentral lists this ribosomal RNA (537 nucleotides) under Trichoderma asperellum. Its description in RNAcentral is "eukaryotic LSU rRNA". The stretch from base 148 to 301 matches the Rfam family "5.8S ribosomal RNA". The record is from RNAcentral. Lineage: Eukaryota; Fungi; Ascomycota; Sordariomycetes; Hypocreales; Hypocreaceae.